Neolamprologus brichardi is the source of this 528-nucleotide long non-coding RNA. RefSeq lists it as uncharacterized. NCBI's taxonomy places the organism in Eukaryota, Metazoa, Chordata, Actinopteri, Cichliformes, Cichlidae. The record is from RefSeq and is a predicted model, not a curated record.
CUGAAAAAUAGCUGAGUCAUUAGGUUGGCACUGUCGCUGCACAUAUAACACUGACUACUGACCAGCUACACAAGAUCUGACACAAGACUGACUGGUGAAGAAAACACUGUAGUGGAGCCAUGCUGUGACUGAUAUGCUCUGCGCUGCACAAUGUGGCUGCCUGGGUCGUGUCUUGCUGUUGCUCCUCAGCAAAGGACGGGACAUCAUCAGGAGAGACAUACAAGUGUAAAGGAAAGCAAGUGUGGACAGUGUCUGAUGAUGCAGCAACAUCCAGUCAAAAGCCUUCCUAAUUCCUCUCAGCAGUGCGGAGAGGAACGACAGCCACAUUUUCUCCACCCGGACACCCUGCAAAGUGUUUAAUCUCCGCUCUGGUCUGACUCUGUGUUGCUCUGUGCUUGUUAUAAUGAUGACUUAUCUAAAAACUCCUGUUUGGGAAGCUGGAUAGUGUCUGACAGCUGACAAAUACAGCAGCAUCAGUCAGGUCAUCAUGUCACAUCAUGACUUUAACCAAUAAAGAGUUGUGCAGGA